GACGAACGCUGGCGGCGUGCCUAAUACAUGCAAGUAGAACGCUGAAGAGACGAGCUUGCUCUUCUUGGAUGAGUUGCGAACGGGUGAGUAACGCGUAGGUAACCUGCCUUGUAGCGGGGGAUAACUAUUGGAAACGAUAGCUAAUACCGCAUAACAAUGGAUGACACAUGUCAUUUAUUUGAAAGGGGCAAUUGCUCCACUACAAGAUGGACCUGCGUUGUAUUAGCUAGUAGGUGAGGUAAUGGCUCACCUAGGCGACGAUACAUAGCCGACCUGGGAGGGUGAUCGGCCACACUGGGACUGAGACACGGCCCAGACUCCUACGGGAGGCAGCAGUAGGGAAUCUUCGGCAAUGGGGGCAACCCUGACCGAGCAACGCCGCGUGAGUGAAGAAGGUUCUCGGAUCGUAAAGCUCUGUUGUAAGUCAAGAACGGGUGUGAGAGUGGAAAGUUCACACUGUGACGGUAGCUUACCAGAAAGGGACGGCUAACUACGUG
RNAcentral lists this ribosomal RNA (497 nucleotides) under uncultured bacterium. RNAcentral's name for it is "partial 16S ribosomal RNA". It matches the Rfam family "Bacterial small subunit ribosomal RNA", at positions 28 to 507 of the family's 1533-position model. The record is from RNAcentral.